GGUGUGUGCCGUUCGCCAGAGAAAUCAAACGGGACGCUUCAGGCGACUGUUCGAAGUGGUCCUCUACGGUGAAACGAAGAAUCAAGCACGUGGUGGCCGUUAUUCGUGAAGUGGGUCCAAAAAAUUGGUGAGAUUUAAAGAAAUCUCACGAGAUUCCCAGGUGAUCUCGGAUCCAGUCGUCGUAGAUGACAUGGUGUCCUCGUUUGACGACUGCAGGUCGUCGGAGGUGAUGGGUUUCACCAGGAAGUUCAAGGGAGAUGCCAGAGAAAGACGGCAGGCGGUCUGGCACUUGAUGAGACGACAGAGACGACAGCAAAACGCCGUUAUGUUUAAUUCGGCGUCUAGGUUUUGGACACGGUUCACAAAUUGGCUUGGCUUGGCGGCUAGGGUCUAAUUGUUGUCCGAGUACCGUGUGAUAUGAAAAAUAAAUGGCUGUGAAAAAUUUAAAGCUACGGAAUACCUAUGCCGGACCCAAGCAAGAAAGCCGUAACCUGGGCGACUCCCUCGGCUCUCGCUCCUGCUCCUGGAGCGUGAAUCGGCAUCGGUGCUUCAUAUUGAUCCCUCCUAAUUCACAAUUGUUCAUUUUGGUGUGGAGUCUUCUGUGUUAAUUUGGUAGCGACCAUAGCAUGCCGGAUUUCUGGGGGAUCGCAAUAAAUUUGGUGUAGGAGAUGAGGCUAUAAAAUGUAAUAUGGAGGUUUUACCACUUUUUUCGCCCCUGGAUGAAGCAGAUAUCGACCUCCGAGUUUACCGGAACGUACUUUACUUUGUUGGUACUCGGUUGGGCUGCUGCCAGAAGCCGCAUUUAGGAGUCCCGUGCUACUUGCAGACUCACCCUCUCAUUCAAAUUUCUCCAAAAUCAAGCUCUUAAAGGAAGAGUAAGGAAUUAACACACCCUUGUAUUUGGAAAAUUAUGAUACUGAAAUAACCUAUAAAUUCGAGGAAAAGAAUAGCAAAAUGCUGUUUUCCCCACCUCCCUACCUCUCUUCCACCUUACCCUUUCCCAUUGCCCACCAGAAAAUGAGUUGAUUCCUUGCGAAAUAUUUUUGCAAGGACUUCGGCCUGAACCCUGAUGUACAAUAUUGGAAUUCCAACCAUUUGCAUGCAGCCGGACUUUCUCUUUAUGAAAAAAUGCCAUAAUCAAUCCCCUUUCCUCUUGGAAUUUGCAUAACCAUUUCACCAGAAACACAGCUCGUUCUCUUUACAUGGAGUAGUAUAUUGAUGGCUGAUAGGUCGCCAUUGACCAUGCUUUGGAACUUAUACUAACGUGAACAAGCAUUCCUUUAUACUUUAAACUUGACUGUAAACAUAACAAUCUCUCAAAAAUCAUUGUUUUGGUUUUUCCUAUAGUUUGGGGCAUUAAAUAACACUUUUUAUACGUAAUUCUCUUAGAAGAGUUUUUAUACUAUACAUUUGCUUUGCCUAUUCUUAAAAACAAGUCAUCCUACAAAAGCGAAUUAUUUAUUUUCUAGUCAUACAAGAAAGACAAUUGAGUUAUUUUAAAUAACCACAACGACCUCCUUGUGUUCCUCUUUCUUCGUUUCAAUAGUACAGUCUCUUUAUAAAAAUAAAGAAGGUUAUUUAAGGCCCAUAAUACUGCCUCUCACCCUGAAAAACCAUUAACUCGAAAAGUAAGGCUCAUAAAAUUCAUUUCAUAAUUCUCUAUCUCACACCAUUGUCUUCUUUUCCUCUGAGAAUUAACCUCUACUCUUUCCCCUCUCCCCAGUGCCCGGUUGUUUACUUAUCUAAUGUAAACUUGGGCGCAUGACCAUGUCCUCCAUUUUGGACCACACUUGAGAAAAGAACUUUUAAAAUAUCCAGAUAUUUUGGUCUACAUUUAUUGAAGCUAAAAUUCAAUUGGCAUUUAUAAAAAUUUCAGGGGAAGUAGGGCAUUUUGCUUGGGUUUCCGUCAAUAUUGGAAGUCACAAUAAUCUCUGCAGUUAGAAGGAAAUACCAUCUUCUUAUUGAAAAAAAAGUGUAUAUAUAUAUGUAUAUAUAUAUUUAUAUUUAUAUAUCCUUCAAUCCCUUAGGAUGUCUAAAAUUUUGAAAAUUUGAUUGCAUUUUGUUAUUCCUGUCCAAAUCUUAGAUGUUGUUCUCCCGUCUGUUGUUUGAACAAAGCAUUAUAUGUCGAUCAACUGUAUUUGGAUAAGCUCAGCUGAUUAUUUAUUUUCUUCUUUUAGUGUGCUUUACUAAGCAAUAUCAUUGCUAUCAUAGAGGAAUAGAAACUUGACUCAGUAGAUUCAAAUUCCCGGUGAAACAAUAUUUCUGAAGGGAAGUUCAUGGUUUAAUGGAAGUGGAAAAAUUUAGUUCAUGUCCUGAAUCCUGAUACAUGUUUUAGGAAGAAAAACCAAAAGUUUUCUUUCCUGAGGGAUGUUAAAUUUUUUGAACUUCUGUUCUUUCAAUACUAUGAUUUGAAAUACCAUUUGUUUGCAAUGAAAUAUGGAUAAACCAUGGUUUUGCUUCCUGCCCUUUAGGAUAUUUUAUUAAAGGGAAUUUCCAUCUUGGUCUGAAAUUGGUUAUCAAACUUCAAGUUUUAAGUAUUGCUUGUAAUAGCUUUAUAAUAAUAAUUGUCCCUUCAUAGUUUUUACUUUUUAUUGAUUUUUCUGAACACAACUAAUAUAUGAGGUUACCUGUCAUUAUAAAUUCAUCCAGUGGAGGAGGAUCAACUAUAGUUACUUCAGUUGUUCAUUGUAGAUCUCUUGCACAGGUAUUAAUCAUGUUCCGACCGAGUUAAAUGACUAACCUCCUGCGAAUUUUGUUUUAAAUUACAUAUUGAGAGAGCUUCUGCAAGUAUUAUGAAAGGGUACAAAAUUGAGGCGGGAAGAUGUGCUGUUUAAUUGUCACAUUCUGCAUCAGAUGGAGAUGGAGGUUGAGUUGUAGAGUUUGAGGACGGGGUAUAUUGCCCUGUUGUAAACACUGCCAUUCUGCAAGUUUUGGUUAACCCGAAGCAGACCAAAAACUAAAUGAUAUGACUUGUUUAGGGCAUGAAAAAGUUGGAUGCUGUUGUUUGCAUAUGUUUGAAUUAAAAUAGAUAGUAAUAGUUUGAAAUUGUAUUCAAAACUUGCAGAAAGUUUCUCAGGUAAACUGCCGAAUACCCUUGUACCUGAGGAAAAUUGCCACUGUCUCAUCCGUAAAUGCCUUUUAAAACACUGGUAUACGCUCGCAUGAUCCCAAAGUAUAAAUAUUGUUUCUUUCUUCAAUAAAAGGUAUAUAUAUAGACUUUGGGAUCCCUAAGCGGAAGGAGUGGUUGUUUAUAAAUUGUGAAUCUAUUUGAUUGUUCUUA
Long non-coding RNA from Malus domestica (apple), 3280 nucleotides. RefSeq lists it as uncharacterized. The record is from RefSeq and is a predicted model, not a curated record. NCBI's taxonomy places the organism in Eukaryota, Viridiplantae, Streptophyta, Magnoliopsida, Rosales, Rosaceae.